AAAAGGCACAGGUCACAUUCGUAGCAAGUGCAGAAGGAAUGCACAAUAGGAAGAAAGACGUGUGAUUUUUUUUUAAUACACUGAAUACAAGGUGAGAGGAAGGGAGUAGGUGUGAAGACUUUUCUUCGGCAUGGUAAUGCCGGUGUAGUUUUCCCGUGGAUGCGUCGAAGCAGAACACAGCAAAGAGGGAAUUUGGAACGAGCCAGGCGUGAAUUCAGACACUUGACAGAGGAAAGGUUAUCGCCCACUUGUUGUCACUUUUAUCGGAACACCCGACAGCGACGACGUCAUCUUCCUCGGAUGAUGGCGAUGAAGAAGAAGGUCACCGAGCUCUACAAGGGAACAAACCUCGCACAAAACCCGGAGCUGGAUCCUUUCCGGAGUUGGAGCUGAGCGGUGACAGACAGCCAGGAGCGGCACAGUCCUGAGGGGGCGUGGCCACGUGGGAAGAGAUGUGACCAGUGAGCAUAUGAGCGCCCGACUCCAGGUCAUCUGCCUCCUCCGCGUUUUGGGAAGCUCCGCAAAUGUGAUUAAACAGGAAGGCACAAGAAUACUGCAGAGGCCUCCUGCACCCGAGUGUUCUUCUCACGGACACACACACACACACACACACACACACACACACACACACACACACACACACACACACACACACACACACACACACACACACACACACACACCCAACAUGCAACACAACACUGGCUGACACAUUGGAAGAUACACACAUAGCAAGAUGCACCGACACACACUAACACACUGAACACACAUUAACACACAGUAACAGUCACAACACACACAUAAACAUUAACACACACAAAACAAACCUAACACAAAAACACACACUAACACACAUCAACAGACAGUAAACACACUAGCACAGAAUCACGACAAACAUGCAACACAACACUCGCCGACACACUGGAUGAUGGACAUGCUGAAAGAUGCGCUGACACAUUAACACACACUAAACACACAAACACACACAAGAACGUACACAAAACACAGAAAACACACUUAAAAACAUAUCAACACACAAUAACGUACACAAAAAAGAAAUAAAACACAAUAAGACAUACACUAAACACUUAAACACUCACUCAACACACUUAAACACACACAGGAACACACACACACACACCCAACAUGCAACACAACACUUGGGGACACACUGGACAAUUCACACGUAGCAAGAUGCACCGACACACACUAACACACUAAACACACAUUCACACACACUAAUAGCUACAACACACAUAAACAUUAACACACACAAAACACACUUAACACAAAAACACACAUCAACACACAGUAAACACACUAACACACACAAGCACGGCAAACAUUCAACACAACGCUCUCUGACACACUGGAUGAUGGACAUGCUGCGGGGAUGGGCUGACACAUAUUAACACACUAAACACACACUUAACACACAAACACACACAAGAACAUACACAAAACACAGAAAACACAGUUAAAAACAUAUCAACACACAAUAACGUACACAACACAGAAAUAAAACACAAUAAGACAUACACUAAACACUUAAACACUCACUAAACACACUUAAACACACACAGGAACACAAACACACACACACACACACACACCCAACAUGCAACACAACACUUGCGGACACACUGGACAAUUCACACGUAGCAAGAUGCACCGACACACACUAACACACUAAACACACAUUAACACACACUAAUAGCCACAACACACACAUAAUCAUUAACACACACAAAACACAAAAACACACAUCAACACACAGUAAACACACUAACACACACAAGCACGGCAAACAUUCAACACAACGCUCUCCGACACACUGGAUGAUGGACAUGCUGCGAGAUGCGCUGACACAUAUUAACACACUAAACACAAACUAAACACACAAACACACACAAAAACGUACUCAAAACACAGAAAACACAGUUAAAAACAUAUCAACACACAAUAACGUACACAAAACAGAAAUAAAACACAAUAAGACAUACACUAAACACUUAAACACUCACUAAACACACUUAAACACACACAGGAACACACACACACACACACGCAAACACACACACAACAGUCGCUGACACACUGGACAAUUCACAUGUAGCAAGAUGCACCGACACACACUAACACACUAAACACACAUUAACACACAAUAAAAGUCACAACACACACAAACAUAAACACACCUAACACAAAAACACACAUCAACACACAGUAAACACACACUCAACACACACACACGACCAACAUGCAACACAACACUCGCCGACACACUGGAUGAUGCACAUGCUGCAAUAUGCUCUGACACAUAUUAACACAAAUAAACACACACUAAACACACAAACACAAACCAACACACACAAGAAUGUACACAAAAUACAGAAAACACACUUAAACAUAUAUACACACAAAAACGUACAAAAAACAGAGAUGAAACACAAUUAGACACACACUAAACACACACAGGAACAUACACAAAACAGAAAAAAAACACACUUAGACACACAUUAAAACACACACACACUCAACGUAAACACAAAAAAACACCUAACACAAAAACACACACUAACACACAUCAGCACACAGGAAACACACUCUUAACACAUAAACAGACACAAGCACACACACACACCAUACAUGCUGCAAGAUGGAUUGACACAUACUGACACACAAAAACACACACACAGAUACAGAACAACACACACAAGAACAUACACAAAAUACAUGUCAACGCACACAAAAACACACAAAACAACACCCACAAGAACGUACACAAAAAAUGUAAAAACACACAAAAACACACUUAAACGCACAAACAUAUAAUGAGCAUUAACAAAACAGAUAAACACACUUAAUCAAUCAUAAACCCACAGUAAUAACACACAUACACACACACAAGAACGUACACAAAACACAGAUUAAACACACAAAAACCCUUAUAUACACAAUAACAUGCACAUGGACAUAUACACAUAACACAGAUAAAAGCACACUUAAACACACAUCAACACAAGCAUAAACAUAUACGAAACACACUUAAAUACACAAACACAGACAAAACACACACACGACCAACAUGCAACACAACACUCACCGACACACUGGAUGAUGCACAUGCGCCGAGAUGCACUAACACAUAUUAACACACAUGAACAGACACUAAAUACAACAACACAAUAAAACAACACACACAAGAAUGUACACGAAACACAGAAAACCAACUUAAAUACAUAUGAACACACAAUAAACGAACAAAAACACUUAAACACACAAUAACAUACACAAAACACA
This is a long non-coding RNA of Nerophis ophidion (straightnose pipefish), 3303 nucleotides long. RefSeq lists it as uncharacterized. NCBI's taxonomy places the organism in Eukaryota, Metazoa, Chordata, Actinopteri, Syngnathiformes, Syngnathidae. The record is from RefSeq and is a predicted model, not a curated record. The transcript is spliced from 4 exons.